GUUAGGUAGGCAGCUACAGUAGCUGAAUGAUGUUAACAUCUUCAGGUUUUGUUUCAUUAAAUGUAUUUUAUUUUAUCUGGGUGCUUACGUCACCUACUGACACCCUGGUACUACCCAUAGAUCCCGCUCUCCUCAGUCUGAGAAAACACUGAGAGAGAAAGAACAACUUGUCAGGUGGUGCAUUGGAGACUGAUGUGUUCCUGUCCUGUCUUUUCAUAAUACUAUUGCAGAUCGACAUAAAAGCCUAAAAGACAGCCGUGGUGUUGCUCUUCAUUUCUUGGUUCUCCUGUGGUGCAUAAGAAACCCGCUACAGAUUGGUGCCGUGACCCGGAUCAACAGAUCAGCUGCAGCAGAUCGCCGAGGGACCCCUAAACAGAACUGGAUCGACAUCACACGUUUAAAACAUUUGAGGGCAAGAACAACUUGUCAGGUGGUGCAUUGGAGACUGAUGUGUUCCUGUCCUGUCUUUUCAUAAUACUAUUGCAGAUCGACAUAAAAGCCUAAAAGACAGCCGUGGUGUCGCUCUUCAUUUCUUGGUUCUCCUGUGGUGCAUAAGAAACCCGCUACAAUUGCAACUUGCUGAAAAGUGUCAACAAUGUUCCUUUCAUCGAGUUUAAACAGUACAGCAAAAUGGUACUUACAGAGUGACUCAAACAAGAUUUAGACCUUGUUUAUGAAAAACUGUUUAUUUCUGUAUUUCAUGAUUGCAACUUGCUGAAAAGUGUCAGCAAUGUUCCUUUCAUCGAGUUUAAACAGUACAGCAAAAUGGUACUUACAGAGUGACUCAAACAUGAUUUAGACCUUGUUGAUGA
Molecule: long non-coding RNA, 812 nt
Filed under: Salmo salar (Atlantic salmon)
Lineage: Eukaryota; Metazoa; Chordata; Actinopteri; Salmoniformes; Salmonidae
Description: lncRNA (ENSSSAG00000096116.1)
Source: RNAcentral